CAGUUGAUACUGUCAGUCUUGAGUACAGUAGAGGUGGGCGGAAUUCGUGGUGUAGCGGUGAAAUGCUUAGAUAUCACGAAGAACUCCGAUUGCGAAGGCAGCUCACUGGACUGCAACUGACACUGAUGCUCGAAAGUGUGGGUAUCAAACAGGAUUAGAUACCCUGGUAGUCCACACAGUAAACGAUGAAUACUCGCUGUUUGCGAUAUACAGUAAGCGGCCAAGCGAAAGCAUUAAGUAUUCCACCUGGGGAGUACGCCGGCAACGGUGAAACUCAAAGGAAUUGACGGGGGCCCGCACAAGCGGAGGAACAUGUGGUUUAAUUCGAUGAUACGCGAGGAACCUUACCCGGGCUUAAAUUGCAGUGGAAUGAUGUGGAAACAUGUCAGUGAGCAAUCACCGCCGUGAAGGUGCUGCAUGGUUGUCGUCAGCUCGUGCCGUGAGGUGUCGGCUUAAGUGCCAUAACGAGCGCAACCCUUAUCUUCAGUUACUAACAGGUCAUGCUGAGGACUCUGGAGAGACUGCCGUCGUAAGAUGUGAGGAAGGUGGGGAUGACGUCAAAUCAGCACGGCCCUUACGUCCGGGGCUACACACGUGUUACAAUGGGGGGUACAGAAGGCAGCUAGCGGGUGACCGUAUGCUAAUCCCAAAAUCCUCUCUCAGUUCGGAUCGAAGUCUGCAACCCGACUUCGUGAAGCUGGAUUCGCUAGUAAUCGCGCAUCAGCCACGGCGCGGUGAAUACGUUCCCGGGCCUUGUACACACCGCCCGUCAAGCCAUGGGAGCCGGGGGUACCUGAAGUACGUAACCGCAAGGAUCGUCCUAGGGUAAAACUGGUGACUGGGGCUAAGUCGUAACAAGGUAACC
This 865-nucleotide ribosomal RNA is filed under the name uncultured bacterium. RNAcentral describes it as "bacterial SSU rRNA". It matches the Rfam family "Bacterial small subunit ribosomal RNA", at positions 624 to 1501 of the family's 1533-position model. The record is from RNAcentral.